Long non-coding RNA from Piliocolobus tephrosceles (Ugandan red Colobus), 1622 nucleotides. NCBI's taxonomy places the organism in Eukaryota, Metazoa, Chordata, Mammalia, Primates, Cercopithecidae. The record is from Ensembl.
AUGACUUCGAGACCAGACACCUGGGCCUUACAUUUAAUCAAAAAUGGUGGAUCUAUCGUAUUCGGUGAAAACCAAUCAGUUUAUUCUUAUGCAAAAAAUAAUCUUCAAAUGAUAGAAACAAAAGCUAAAGCAAAAGAUAAUGAAGAUGAAUUUACACAAAAGAAUAAUUUUUCAGAUGAUAAUAAAUCAUACAUAAAUUAUAAACUAAAAAAUAAUGCAUAUGCCGUAAAUUUAAGUUCAGUAGAAGCAAAUAUGAAAAAUAAUUAUAUUUUUUUAAAUGUAAAGAGUACAGCAAUUCUUGACACAUCGAAUCCAUAUAUAACUUUACCACCAUCUUUUGUUAACAAUUUUAAACAAUCUCUGAGCAAUUUAUGCAAAACUGAAAAUAAAAUUUGUAAAUACCCAUUAAAAGAUGAAAUCACAAUAUAUAAUUAUCCAAAGCUAAUACAACUAUUACCUGAUAUAAAACUAUCUAUAAAUGAUCAACAUGAAGUAUCAAUUAAACCGGAUGCCUAUAUUGUAAAGAAAAAUGACGAUAAUUACAAAGUUUUAAUAAAUGCUUCUGAUGAUAUAAGUUUAGGAGUUCCGUUUUUUUUGGAUAAAUAUAUAAUAUUUAAUGAUGCACAUAAAAGAAUAAAAAUAUUUGACGCUCCACCCAUGAGCAGCAAAAAUGGUGAAGACUAUUCUAUGAUGAAUUUAAUUCAAAAUAAAACAGAUAAAUUUAACAAAAGAUUUAGGUCUUCAACACAAAGAAAUGCAAGUAAUUUAAAAGGAGAAAUGUAUGGAGUACAAAUAAAAGGAGGUGAAGUGCAUGGACACGGACAUGGACACGGACAUGGAGAUGGACAUGGACACGGACAUGGACAUGGACAUGGACAUGGACACGGAUAUGAAUAUGAAUAUGAGUAUGGAUUUGAAAAUGGUCACAGACAUGAUAACGGACUUGGACACAAACUUGGACACGGAAUUGGACAUAGACUUGGACACGAACUUGGACACGGACAUAGACAUGGACAUAAAGGUGUAGAGGAAAUACAUAUAAACAUGCCAAAACACAUAGCGACAGAAGGAAGGACUGAAUUAGAAAUAGAAGCAAAAAAAAUAGCAGCAGAAGAAUUACAGGCUAAAUUAGAAAAAGAAAUGGCAAAAAAAGAAGCAACAGAAAAAGCAGCAGAAGCAACAGCAGCAGCAGAAGAAAUAGCUAAAUUAGCAAACAAAGCAGCAGAAAAUGCAGCUAUAGAAGAAAAGGCUAAAUUAAAAAAANNNNNNNNNNGAAGAAAAAGGAGCAACUGAAGAAAAAGGAGCAACUAAAGAAAAAGGAGCAACAGACGAAGUAUCAAAUAUAGCAGUGCCAAACAUAGGAGAUAUAAAAAAUAAUCCUUCAGAUAAACCAAAAGAUGUUAUGCAAUCAAACGUUAAUUUAUAUAACGCUCUAAAUGAAGUAACAAAGGCAGAAGAAGCAGUUAAAACAGCUAAGAAAGAACAUGAUAAGGCUAUAACAGCAGCAAAUAAGGCAAAACAAGCUGAACAUGAAGCAGAUAAAGAUGCAAAAAAAAAGAAGCAGAUGCUCAAAUAGCAAAAAAUGCAAUAAACGAUAAAACUGGAGAUGAUAAAAAAAAGGC